This 445-nucleotide ribosomal RNA is filed under the name uncultured bacterium. RNAcentral describes it as "bacterial SSU rRNA". It matches the Rfam family "Bacterial small subunit ribosomal RNA", at positions 330 to 792 of the family's 1533-position model. The record is from RNAcentral.
UCCAGACUCCUACGGGAGGCAGCAGUGGGGAAUAUUGCACAAUGGGGGAAACCCUGAUGCAGCGACGCCGCGUGAGUGAAGAAGUAAUUCGUUAUGUAAAGCUCUAUCAGCAGGGAAGAAAAUGACGGUACCUGACUAAGAAGCCCCGGCUAACUACGUGCCAGCAGCCGCGGUAAUACGUAGGGGGCAAGCGUUAUCCGGAUUUACUGGGUGUAAAGGGAGCGUAGACGGCGUGCCAAGUCUGAUGUGAAAGGCCGGGGCUCAACCCCGGGACUGCAUUGGAAACUGGCAUGCUGGAGUGCCGGAGGGGCAAGCGGAAUUCCUAGUGUAGCGGUGAAAUGCGUAGAUAUUAGGAGGAACACCGGUGGCGAAGGCGGCUUGCUGGACGGUAACUGACGUUGAGGCUCGAAAGCGUGGGGAGCAAACAGGAUUAGAUACCCUCGUA